RNAcentral lists this ribosomal RNA (1518 nucleotides) under Candidatus Bathyarchaeota archaeon BA1. RNAcentral describes it as "bacterial SSU rRNA". It matches the Rfam family "Archaeal small subunit ribosomal RNA". Lineage: Archaea; Thermoproteati; Candidatus Bathyarchaeota. The record is from RNAcentral.
ACUCCGGUUGAUCCUGCCGGACCCCACUGCUAUCGGGGUAGGACUUAACCAUGCGAGUUGUGCGUCCCCAAGCCAUGGUGGGGGCGCGGCAUACGGCUCAGUAACACGUGGCUAACCUAGCCUUUGGACGGGGACAACCCCGGGAAACUGGGGCUAAUCCCCGAUGGGUGGGAAGGCCUGGAAUGGUUUCCCACCGAAAGGGCGUCUGAACCAUGCUUCAGGCGUUGCCGAAGGAUGGGGCCGCGGCCGAUCAGGUUGUUGGUGAGGUAACGGCUCACCAAGCCUAUAACCGGUACGGGCCGUGAGAGCGGGAGCCCGGAGAUGGGCACUGAGACAAGGGCCCAGGCCCUACGGGGCGCAGCAGGUGCGAAAACUCCGCGAUGCGCGAAAGCGUGACGGGGCUAUCCCGAGUGCCGUCCGCUGAGGAUGGCUUUUCCCCGGUGUAGGGAGCCGGGGGAAUAAGGAGAGGGCAAGUCUGGUGUCAGCCGCCGCGGUAAUACCAGCUCUCCGAGUGGUGGGGACAAUUAUUGGGCUUAAAGCGUCCGUAGCCGGCCCAUCAAGUCUCUUGUUAAAUCCAGCGAUCCAAUCGCUGGACUGCGGGAGAUACUGCUGGGCUAGGGGGCGGGAGAAGCCGAUGGUAUUCUCGGGGUAGGGGUGAAAUCCUAUAAUCCCGGGAGGACCACCAGUGGCGUAGGCGGUCGGCUAGAACGCGCCCGACGGUGAGGGACGAAAGCUGGGGGAGCGAACCGGAUUAGAUACCCGGGUAGUCCCAGCCGUAAACGAUGCGGGCUAGGUGUUGGGGUGGCUACGAGCCACCCCAGUGCCGCAUGGAAGCAAUUAAGCCCGCCGCCUGGGGAGUACGGCCGCAAGGCUGAAACUUAAAGGAAUUGGCGGGGGAGCACCACAAGGGGUGAAGCUUGCGGUUUAAUUGGAGUCAACGCCGGGAAAGGAACAGCGUUUUGUUGUUCCUCUGGAUACCUUACCGGGGGCGACAGCAGGAUGAAGGCCAGAUUGAAGGUCUUGCUGGACGAGCUGAGAGGAGGUGCAUGGCCGUCGCCAGUUCGUGCCGUGAGGUGUCCUGUUAAGUCAGGUAACGAUCGAGACCCACACCCCCAGUUGCUACCUCUUCGGAGGGCACUCUAGGGGUACUGCCGCCGAUAAGGCGGAGGAAGGAGUGGGCCACGGCAGGUCAGUAUGCCCCGAAUCCCCCGGGCCACACGCGAGCUGCAAUGGCAAGGACAAUGGGUUCUGACCCCGAGAGGGGAAGGUAAUCCCGAAACCCUGCCUCAGUUGGGAUCGAGGGCUGAAACCCGCCCUCGUGAACAUGGAAUCCCUAGUAAUCGCGGGUCACCAGCCCGCGGUGAAUACGUCCCUGCUCCUUGCACACACCGCCCGUCGCUCCAUCCGAGUGGGGUUUAGGUGAGGCGUGGUCCUUGUGGCUGUGUCGAAUCUAGGCUUCGCGAGGAGGGAGAAGUCGUAACAAGGUGGCCGUAGGGGAACCUGCGGCCGGAUCACCUC